UACAGAGGUGCCGAGCGUCAGGCGGAAUCACUGGGCUUAAAGCGUGUGUAGGCGGGGCGUUAAGUGCUUUGUGAAAUCCCACGGCUCACCCGUGGAACUGCUUAACAUACUAGCGCUCUUGAGCCACUUAGGGGCAACUAGAACAAACGGUGGAGCGGUGAAAUGCGUAGAUAUCGUUUGGAACGCCAAUGGUGAAAACAGGUUGCUGGGAGUGUGCUGACGCUGAGACACGAAAGCCAGGGGAGCGAACGGG
Molecule: ribosomal RNA, 253 nt
Filed under: uncultured bacterium
Lineage: Bacteria
Description: partial 16S ribosomal RNA
Rfam family: Bacterial small subunit ribosomal RNA
Source: RNAcentral